RNAcentral lists this ribosomal RNA (253 nucleotides) under uncultured bacterium. RNAcentral describes it as "partial 16S ribosomal RNA". It matches the Rfam family "Bacterial small subunit ribosomal RNA", at positions 524 to 776 of the family's 1533-position model. The record is from RNAcentral.
GACAGAGGGUGCAAACGUUGCUCGGAAUUACUGGGCGUAAAGCGUGCGCAGGCGGUUCUAUAAGACAGAUGUGAAAUCCCCGGGCUCAACCUGGGAACUGCAUUUGUGACUGUAGAGCUGGAGUACGGCAGAGGGGGAUGGAAUUCCGCGUGUAGCAGUGAAAUGCGUAGAUAUGCGGAGGAACACCGAUGGCGAAGGCAAUCCCCUGGGCCUGUACUGACGCUCAUGCACGAAAGCGUGGGGAGCAAACAGG